GCAUUGGUGGUUCAGUGGUAGAAUCCUCGCCUGCAACGCGGGGGGCCCGGGUUCGAUUCCCGGCCAAUGCA
Non-coding RNA from Ciona savignyi (Pacific transparent sea squirt), 71 nucleotides. Lineage: Eukaryota; Metazoa; Chordata; Ascidiacea; Phlebobranchia; Cionidae. The record is from Rfam.